UACGGAGGGUGCAAGCGUUGUUCGGAAUCACUGGGCGUAAAGGGCGUGUAGGCGGUCAGGCAAGUCGGAUGUGAAAGCCCUGGGCUCAACCCAGGAACUGCAUCCGAAACUGCUCGGCUAGAGGCCCGGAGAGGAAGGCGGAAUUCCCAGUGUAGGGGUGAAAUCCGUAGAUAUUGGGAAGAAUACCAGAGGCGAAGGCGGACUUCUGGACGGUGACUGACGCUGAGAAGCGAAAGCGUGGGUAGCAAACAGG
This 253-nucleotide ribosomal RNA is filed under the name uncultured bacterium. RNAcentral's name for it is "partial 16S ribosomal RNA". It matches the Rfam family "Bacterial small subunit ribosomal RNA", at positions 524 to 776 of the family's 1533-position model. The record is from RNAcentral.